GUUAGACUUGUGAACUUUCUAAAUUAAAAAUAUGGGGAUAUGGAUCUAAAUAGAUACGGGUGCUCAGAUACGCUAUGUAGGUCGAAAGGGUUGAAGUAAUUUACCCAAAAAGAGCCAAACACAACUAAAAAUUGUGAUAUGCAACCAUUGGGUUCUUGAAAUAUUCAACAUUUUUUAACUCUUUUUGUACCUAUCCAUAAUUCAAAGUUGCAUUCUCUUUUUAACUUGUUUUUUAUGUAUCCUUUACACAUAUUCCAUGUCGUGUUGACACGGCUACAGCAAGGCAAAAUGAAGAGUUGAAGUAUCAGAGCUUAAUUUGAUUCCUCCUUGUGCGCUGACAUAUCCAUCUUAGCAUUUUAUCCCUAUCAUACUCAUUUGUGGCAUGUUGGUUUUUUCCCAUCACACAUCAUUUUUAAUCAAAUUGCAGUUUUUAGAACUUUUCAUUUAAGUUAGCAUUUUUUUUUAAAACAAAUAAGACAUAGCAAUUCUCAGUUUCAAUUCUCCUAUGUUCCUAUCUUAAUCACUCUCCCAAGAUUUCCACUGCUAUGUUUUUAAUGUUUGUAGACAACACCAAUUCCAUAAACAUGGCUUUUACAUCUGUAUCCGGGUUCUAUCCUCAUAUUUAUUCUUCAAAACCAAAUGUUUCUCACCUCUUACUCUUAGAUUCCACCACCUUGUCCUAUAGAGCCUAGAAGCUGCUUUUUUCCCAAUCAAAAUUUAUGAAUAAUCAAACAACCCAAUAAUAGAAAAUCAAAGGUCAACCAAGCAGUAGCAGCCCUUAUUGCAAUCCCAAAAAUUUCCCCACAAACUCAAUACCUGACAUGUUAAUUGUUCAACAAUAACUGGCAAACUAAACCUAAAAGCCCAAAUACCCAUCAUCAAAGAUCAACGAGUGGAUCAAACUAAAAUCACUAGAACAUGAAAUCUCAUCAAAUUAACCCAUCAAACAAAACAACUACCUCUUAAUCCACGAACAAACGCAAAAUAACUAAGAAUAACAUUUGUACCAAUUGACA
This 1016-nucleotide unclassified non-coding RNA is filed under the name Hevea brasiliensis (rubber tree). The record is from RNAcentral. Lineage: Eukaryota; Viridiplantae; Streptophyta; Magnoliopsida; Malpighiales; Euphorbiaceae.